RNAcentral lists this ribosomal RNA (207 nucleotides) under Prevotella pallens. Its description in RNAcentral is "partial 23S ribosomal RNA". It matches the Rfam family "Bacterial large subunit ribosomal RNA", at positions 2704 to 2925 of the family's 2925-position model. Lineage: Bacteria; Pseudomonadati; Bacteroidota; Bacteroidia; Bacteroidales; Prevotellaceae. The record is from RNAcentral.
GACCUCCGGUUUACCAGUUGUGCCGCCAGGUGCACCGCUGGGUAUCUGAGUCUGGUAUGGAUAAGCGCUGAAAGCAUCUAAGUGCGAAGCCUUCCGCAAGAUUAGAACUCCUCAUAAGGGUCGUCAUAGACUAUGACGUUGAUAGGGUGUAGGUGUAAAGACAGCGAUGUCAAAGCCGAGCACUACUAAUUGCCCAAAACUUUCAUU